RNAcentral lists this transfer RNA (72 nucleotides) under Camelus bactrianus (Bactrian camel). It matches the Rfam family "tRNA". Rfam says of the family: Transfer RNA (tRNA) molecules are approximately 80 nucleotides in length. RNAcentral also lists the same sequence under 2 other names. Lineage: Eukaryota; Metazoa; Chordata; Mammalia; Artiodactyla; Camelidae. The record is from Rfam by way of RNAcentral.
GAGGGCAUAGCUCAGUGGUAGAGCACACGCUUAGCAUGCACGAGGUCCUGGGUUCAAUCCCCAGUCCCUCCA